RNAcentral lists this long non-coding RNA (698 nucleotides) under Homo sapiens (human). RNAcentral describes it as "HSALNT0174219". The record is from RNAcentral. Lineage: Eukaryota; Metazoa; Chordata; Mammalia; Primates; Hominidae.
AAGGAGAUGAGGAUCCUUAGAAUUCAUCCUGGAGAUCGGUUUCUAUACCAUCAAAAGCUCAUUUUUAUUUCUUUUUGUUAUGAAAUAAUAUAUUGUGCUAAUCCAUUCAUCAAAAAUAUUUAUAAAAUACAAAGAGCAUGUUUGUUAUGAUUAGAAAGAAACCAAGGAAAUCAAGACUUGAGGGGCCAGAAUAUCUGAAAGAAUGGGAAUGCUUGAGAUGAAACCUACCUUUAAUUGCUUUCUUCCUCAGAGUAGUUGCUGAUCUGUGGUACUGAAUUAGAGGACAAGAGAAAAGCAGUGACAGUUUUCCUGAGCUGAGGGAAAGAAAAUUGAAGUUCAGGGUUAUAUGCUACACCAAGGGCCAAUGUAUGUUCUUUAUUAUAAUCCCAAACAUUGGAGCAGAGAGUAAGAUUGUGGAUGAUGUCUUCAGUUACAUAUACCUUGUUAUCAGGACUACAUCACUUCUUUUCUUCCGGCAUGUGAUGAAUAUUGUUUGCAUAAAUUUUUGCAGUAGACUGGAAAUGAUUCUGAGGUUAGAAGGUGGAAGCUUAUUAGUUGUAAAGGAAGGCAAAGUCCACAUACUAACAAUGAUCCUCUUUCAUUGUGGUGUUGGCCUUAUUUUAUGUAUUAUACUUCAUUGGAGGCCUCAAAUAGGUGAAAUUGAUACAUGGAAGACUAAGGUAGCUCUGGUCCAUACA